This 172-nucleotide ribosomal RNA is filed under the name uncultured bacterium. Its description in RNAcentral is "partial 16S ribosomal RNA". It matches the Rfam family "Bacterial small subunit ribosomal RNA", at positions 338 to 524 of the family's 1533-position model. The record is from RNAcentral.
CCUACGGGAGGCAGCAGUAGGGAAUAUUGCACAAUGGAGGAAACUCUGAUGCAGCGACGCCGCGUGAGUGAUGAAGGCCUUCGGGUCGUAAAGCUCUGUCGCAGGGGAAUAACACAAUGAAUGUACCCUGUAAGAAAGGAUCGGCUAACUUCGUGCCAGCAGCCGCGGUAAU